GUUUCCGUCUUGGAUGAACUGUUCCGCUUGAGAAAUCGCAUUCUGAACAGCUAAAAGCUGCUCCAUUGCAUUCAUUGCUGGAGGGGCUAUGACCUUAACUUCGUCGACUGGGGUAUUUUGGUUGAAAAGUCGCGUAAGCAUCAUGAAGACUGCCAUGAAUGCAAGUAGCAGAGCGAAGGCGUAGGGCAGCCAGUCCCUGUAGAUAAUGUAACUGGAGACCAAACAGAAUGUCAAAGACUUGAUAGGAUCUUCCCAUAGUGCCAAAGAAAGAAGGAACUUCCCAAGUUCACUCACUGGCAACAUUAAUUCCUUCAUCACUGCCAAAUUAGUAUCAAU
This 336-nucleotide unclassified non-coding RNA is filed under the name Hevea brasiliensis (rubber tree). The record is from RNAcentral. Lineage: Eukaryota; Viridiplantae; Streptophyta; Magnoliopsida; Malpighiales; Euphorbiaceae.